AGUGAACGCUGGCGGUAGGCCUAACACAUGCAAGUCGAACGGCAGCACAGUAAGAGCUUGCUCUUACGGGUGGCGAGUGGCGGACGGGUGAGGAAUACAUCGGAAUCUACUUUUUCGUGGGGGAUAACGUAGGGAAACUUACGCUAAUACCGCAUACGACCUACGGGUGAAAGCAGGGGAUCUUCGGACCUUGCGCGAUUGAAUGAGCCGAUGUCGGAUUAGCUAGUUGGCGGGGUAAAGGCCCACCAAGGCGACGAUCCGUAGCUGGUCUGAGAGGAUGAUCAGCCACACUGGAACUGAGACACGGUCCAGACUCCUACGGGAGGCAGCAGUGGGGAAUAUUGGACAAUGGGCGCAAGCCUGAUCCAGCAAUACCGCGUGGGUGUAGAAGGCCUUCGGGUUGUAAAGCCCUUUUGUUGGGAAAGAAAAGCAGCAGGUUAAUACCCCGCUGUUCUGACGGUACCCAAAGAAUAAGCACCGGCUAACUUCGUG
RNAcentral lists this ribosomal RNA (492 nucleotides) under uncultured bacterium. RNAcentral's name for it is "partial 16S ribosomal RNA". It matches the Rfam family "Bacterial small subunit ribosomal RNA", at positions 29 to 507 of the family's 1533-position model. The record is from RNAcentral.